RNAcentral lists this unclassified non-coding RNA (226 nucleotides) under Hevea brasiliensis (rubber tree). Lineage: Eukaryota; Viridiplantae; Streptophyta; Magnoliopsida; Malpighiales; Euphorbiaceae. The record is from RNAcentral.
GGCAAAUAAGCAUGCUAACAAGAAUGCAUAAGGAAGUACCAAUGAUGAUGGUAGAUAGUCUUUGAUAAGCCAAUUCAAACAAUUGAUCAACACGAUAACCAGAGACAGCAACCAGGCUGAAAGUGAGGAUAAAGAUCAUGGCACCAUAAUCGAACAAAUGCUUCACAGAGGGAAUAAAUCUAGAGAAGGUUGCUGCAGAAGCUAGUAAGAAAACUGAGGUUCCAAC